UACGGAGGUGGCAAGCGUUGUUCGGAAUUACUGGGCGUAAAGGGCGCGUAGGCGGGGAGGUAAGUCGGGUGUGAAAUCCCUCGGCCCAACCGAGGAACUGCGCCCGAGACUGCUUCUCUUGAGUCCCGGAGAGGAAGGUGGAAUUCCCGGUGUAGCGGUGAAAUGUGUAGAGAUCGGGAGGAACACCGGUGGCGAAGGCGGCCUUCUGGACGGUGACUGACGCUGAGGCGCGAAAGCGUGGGGAGCAAACGGG
RNAcentral lists this ribosomal RNA (253 nucleotides) under uncultured bacterium. RNAcentral's name for it is "partial 16S ribosomal RNA". It matches the Rfam family "Bacterial small subunit ribosomal RNA", at positions 524 to 776 of the family's 1533-position model. The record is from RNAcentral.